Molecule: ribosomal RNA, 253 nt
Filed under: uncultured bacterium
Lineage: Bacteria
Description: partial 16S ribosomal RNA
Rfam family: Bacterial small subunit ribosomal RNA
Source: RNAcentral
UACGUAGGCCGCAAGCGUUGUUCGGAAUUACUGGGCGUAAAGCGUGUGUAGGCGGUGUUCUAAGUUUGUCGUGAAAUCUCCCGGCUUAACUGGGAGGGUGCGGCGAAAACUGGAAUGCUAGAGGAUGGGAGAGGUAAGCGGAAUUCCUGGUGUAGCGGUGAAAUGCGUAGAUAUCAGGAGGAACACCUGUGGUGUAGACAGCUUACUGGACCAUUACUGACGCUGAGACACGAAAGCGUGGGUAGCAAACAGG